This 585-nucleotide ribosomal RNA is filed under the name uncultured bacterium. Its description in RNAcentral is "partial 16S ribosomal RNA". It matches the Rfam family "Bacterial small subunit ribosomal RNA", at positions 355 to 1375 of the family's 1533-position model. The record is from RNAcentral.
UGGGGAAUUUUGGACAAUGGGCGAAAGCCUGAUCCAGCAAUGCCGCGUGUGUGAAGAAGGCCUUCGGGUUGUAAAGCACUUUUGUCCGGAAAGAAAUCCUUGGCUCUAAUACAGUCGGGGGAUGACGGUACCGGAAGAAUAAGCACCGGCUAACUACGUGCCAGCAGCCGCGGUAAUACGUAGGGUGCAAGCGUUAAUCGGAAUUACUGGGCGUAAAGCGUGCGCAGGCGGUUUGCUAAGACCGAUGUGAAAUCCCCGGGCUCAACCUGGGAACUGCAUUGGUGACUGGCAGGCUAGAGUAUGGCAGAGGGGGGUAGAAUUCCACGUGUAGCAGUGAAAUGCGUAGAGAUGUGGAGGAAUACCGAUGGCGAAGGCAGCCCCCUGGGCCAAUACUGACGCUCAUGCACGAAAGCGUGGGGAGCAAACAGGAUUAGAUACCCUGGUAGUCCACGCCCUAAACGAUGUCAACUAGUUGUUGGGGAUUCAUUUCCUUAGUAACGUAGCUAACGCGUGAAGUUGGCCGCCUGGGGAGUACGGUCGCAAGAUUAAAACUCAAAUGAAUUGACGGGGUCAUAGCUGUUUCCU